GAUGAACGCUGGCGGCGUGCCUAAUACAUGCCAGUCGAGCGAACAGACGAGGAGCUUGCUCCUCUGACGUUAGCGGCGGACGGGUGAGUAACACGUGGAUAACCUACCUAUAAGACUGGGAUAACUUCGGGAAACCGGAGCUAAUACCGGAUAAUAUAUUGAACCGCAUGGUUCAAUAGUGAAAGACGGUUUUGCUGUCACUUAUAGAUGGAUCCGCGCCGCAUUAGCUAGUUGGUAAGGUAACGGCUUACCAAGGCAACGAUGCGUAGCCGACCUGAGAGGGUGAUCGGCCACACUGGAACUGAGACACGGUCCAGACUCCUACGGGAGGCAGCAGUAGGGAAUCUUCCGCAAUGGGCGAAAGCCUGACGGAGCAACGCCGCGUGAGUGAAGAAGGUCUUCGGAUCGUAAAACUCUGUUAUUAGGGAAGAACAAAUGUGUAAGUAACUAUGCACGUCUUGACGGUACCUAAUCAAAAAGCCACGGCUAACUACGUG
Molecule: ribosomal RNA, 497 nt
Filed under: uncultured bacterium
Lineage: Bacteria
Description: partial 16S ribosomal RNA
Rfam family: Bacterial small subunit ribosomal RNA
Source: RNAcentral